CUUGAGUAUUGUCUUAGAAGUACUUCCAAAUCCAUUUUGCACCUGUUUCAUGUCCUUGAGUUUCAAUUCUUCUCGCUUUAUUUGGUCUACUCUUCGUAUAACAGCAUCAACAAAAGUAUCUGUUUCAACCAUCGUUGUAUGGCUUGAUAGAUCAGAUCUUUCCUUGUCGAGCUGUUCAUAUAGAUUCAUGAUGUAGUUCUUUUGAACAAGG
RNAcentral lists this unclassified non-coding RNA (211 nucleotides) under Hevea brasiliensis (rubber tree). Lineage: Eukaryota; Viridiplantae; Streptophyta; Magnoliopsida; Malpighiales; Euphorbiaceae. The record is from RNAcentral.